RNAcentral lists this long non-coding RNA (6851 nucleotides) under Sus scrofa (pig). RNAcentral describes it as "lncRNA (ENSSSCG00025016698.1)". The record is from RNAcentral. Lineage: Eukaryota; Metazoa; Chordata; Mammalia; Artiodactyla; Suidae.
GGGCCACACCUGCAGCAUAUGGAGGUUCCCAGGCUAGGGGUCAAAUCGGAGCUACAGCUGCCAGCCUACGCCACAGCCACAGCAACUCAGGAUCUGAGCCAUGUAUCUAUGACCGACACCACAACUCACAGCAACGCUGGAUCCUUACCCACUAGGCGAAGUCAGGGAUCGAACCCACAACCUCAUGGUUCCUGGUUAUUUUCGUUUCUGCUGAGCCUGAUGGGAACUCCUGCAAAUCCCCUGUUAUUUUAUGGAACUUGUAUUAAUAUCUCAUAGAUAUGGUAUUCCAAAAGAAGCCACAUUCUCUUUCCUGACAUAAAUUUUAGAAAGGCUAGGUAAAUGGAAUAAUGAAUGGAGAGAGAAAACACCAGCUGGCCAUGGCUUUGACCCCACACCUGGCACUUCCUUGUCUUCUGGGUUCAUCACUGAAUAAGCAUGAGUGAUCAAUCUCUAACGUUUUGUUCAAUCAUUUGCAGAGCUACCCUCAUAGCACCACGAAAAAGCAUGAGGGUCCUUCUCUCCAGCAAUGAUCAGUUCAGGCUAAGCCUUGGUGCUGAAAGUGGGAGAAAAGGCAGGGAGAGCCCUGUAAAACCGGAGGAGCUCAUGGAGUGAAGAUUAUUUACACUGUGUGCCUACACCAGGGGGGGUCCACUAAAAUUUACUAUCUCAUCCUAGUCUUUGAGAUAUGCUUAAAGACCCAGAGUUCAGGUUGCUUUAGUGGGUCAUUCUGUGUCUGAUGGAUGCACCUGCCCGCUCUCUCCCGCACCAGAGCAGAACACAAAACACUGUCACAUCCAAUGUGAUGGGAUCACAUGUCUUCAGACCCUUUUUAUGAGGGUGACUCUCUAAAAUGCCAUCAUUAUUCACUAUUAUUUAAGGAGGAGGAAGGAGAGGCACGGAAGGGAAGUUUUACCCCUCAGAGGGAAAGCCUCAGGUGAACCUUCUGGCUACCAGAAUAUAUCGUUCAGAAUAUACAGUGGGUAGAGAAGAUACCUUGCAAUUACGACAUCAAAACAAAUUAAUUCCUACCAUGUCCCACGUCCAGCUGAGUCAGACUGCCCUAUCCUCAGAGUCAGAAAUGUAUAACAAGUCAGUCAAGUCAUUAACAGGUUAUGCAUUUUGCAAUGUCACUGACCAGAAUGUUUAGUGAGUGAGUAAAAUUAACCUAACUUCCAACACGAACUUUGCAUCUUUCCAUGUAAAGGUACUUAUACCUCUUUUCAUAUUUCCAAAUACUCCUGUCAAGCACACUCUGUUUUAACAAUAAACAGACUUAUGGAAUAACUUAAGUUUGUAUUGUGCUUUACAGUUUACUAAGUACUUUCAUGUACAGGUCUUCUUUUAUCCUCAGUAUAAUUCUGAUGGAUCUUAGUGUCUUCAUUUUCUGAUGUAGGAAUUAGGAUUAUUGCUAAACUAAUAUCCAGCAGAGACUGAACCCCAGACUCUGAUUCCAGAUUUAGCCUGUCAGUUCCCCACAAUUGGCACUGAAGGAUUUCCCUUCUAAGCCCACGGCAAUCUCAAUUCUUUUCUAUACUUCUUGUUCCAUGUACUAAUAAAAUUCCAAGCACAUUUCUGGAAACUAUAUUCUUUUUCUAGUUACUCCAUGUGUCUCUGCCUCCUCUACCCAAUUCAAACACAAGCCUUUGGUGACACUGUACUUUCAGGGACCCCUGAAGAACGUUCCUUCCCUCUAGACCCCAUUCAACCAGGUUUAACCCUCGGCGACAGAACCCAGCACAAGCCAGGAGGGGCGCAUUCCCACCCCUCACAAACUCUCUGCCUUUCUCAAGCCCCGUCCUUGAGUAGGGAGGAGACUCUCCCGUGUGCUGCGUGCUGCUGGAACACCAGCUGACGUCCGGGGUGGACGCACACCACUGCCCUCUGCUGCAGGUGUCCGUUUAUCAUAUGUCUCCCACUUGACCUUGGUCAUCUUGAGAAGGGCGACCUUGGGUCACUUUUUUCUUUGAAUCCCCAGAACCUCAUACACAGUAGGUUGUCACUAAUUAAUAAAUAUUUUAAUUUAAAAAGUAACCCGAGAUCAAUUAAGGCAGUUAGUGUCUUUGAGAGGUUCCCAGUCUCACGGGGAAGAAAAACAUAUACACAGACUACAGCCAAUAACAUGAGGCACUGUACCUCCGGGGUACAGAUGGGUUCAAGGGGCUCUGGGAGCACAGACAGGUAGGGACCCAAGGCAGUCGGCCCUCAGAGACAGUGAAGUUGGGCAGAAACUUCAAGAAGAGUAGACACUCUCAGCCAAGGUGCAUAAAGCUGACAGGAAAAGGGUGGGAGUGGGUGGCGAACAGGGGUGGCAGGCGAUUCAGGGGUUUGGUUUGGGGGGCAGCAUAGCAGCCCCUUCUCUGGGGGAGCUGCCGCUCUCUUCAGCCAGUCUUGUGGUUCUAAUAGUAUCUGCUCAUGAUAUCUCGUUCCCCUGGCCAGGAAGACUUCCCAAAGGUUUUGCAAAUGUCUUCGGGCUCACAGAAGAAACAGAGUGAGAAAAUAAAACUGGCCCAGAGAGAUAAGCCAAGGAGAAAGUUGGUGGAAGUGUGUUGUGGAAGCACCCCAGUCCCUGAUCCAGUGGUUUCUGGAAUCUGGUGCACCUCUGCCGUUCCUGAAGUCUGGUUUUCUACCUCAGCUGAGUCAAGCUGGGUUUCUGCCACUUGCAAACACAAGAAUCCUGAUCAAUGCUAAGACCUUAAAAAAAAUCUCCCACAACACGCACAGAGGUAGGCACAAAGUAGCUACUCAAUAUUUUACUCCUCAAACAGACCUAUUUCCAUCAUCGAGUUCAACCUCUUUAUUUAAAGAUGGGGACACAGGCUUACAUAAUUUCCCCAAGAGGUUCUACAAAAGAGUUUACAUCAGAACCUGAACUUUUCUCAGACCAGUGUUCAAUACACACAGACUGCUUCCUUUGCUGUUUGCUGGCUAAUAAGCCUCAAAGGGUUCCUAUUUGGUGGGGAAAAAAAAGGAAGAAAAAAAUCAAAAUGGACAAAAAAUUCCUGAAAGGACUGUAAAGUGAUGACAUUAUUGUUUUUUAGUUAAUUCUGUACCAAAUAGUCCCUGACAUGCACCUGCCUCUGGGGUAGGUGGAUAUUUUGAGACAAGGCACCCUCCUUGACCUCAAGGAGUUCACCAAGCAGAGUGAGGAGACUGCACAGGGUAUCAGAGCUCACAGACGCUCAAAUGAGCCAUCUGGGAGAAUAUGCACUUGUUAUGUUUGCAAGUGCUGGUAAGUCUCUUUUGAACCAGUUAUGAGCCAAACAAAAGUGUCACCUCAUAAUUUCAUAGCUGCAUUUAAAUUCAUGUUAAUCAAAAAUAGUACCAUUUCAGCUGGACCAACUGGAUACGGCACUUGGUUUUUAGAAAAUGCAAAAAAGCCUCCAAAGACAAUGGUUUCCUCCUACUAAGUAUAUUCAAAAGAAAAGGCGAUGGGUUCUGAGGUCUACUGUCAAAUAGGAGGUUCGAAGAUGUUUCGCCCAAGGCUAGGCAGCAUCACUGCCCUGAAGGGAACAGCACUAUUCAGGAAGGGUAAAUGUUUAUGAUGCAUUGUUAAAAUAAUGAAUUCUAGAGUUUACAUUACCUUUCCAGACAGGCAUAUAUCUGCCUAGAGGCAGGUGCCAGUAUCACCUGAAGUCACCUUGCAUCUCUUCCCUCCAGCUCUGAUUCUGCCACCGCUUACACUGGUUUUCUCUAAGUCUGUGAUGGGCUGGAGAGCUAUUUCCGUCCUAGUUCUUCUCCUUAUAUAGGUCAAAUCCCAUUCCAAUGAGCACCAUAACAAUAACCACCUCAUGGCCUGGUUAUUUUAGACAGCCUGAUAAAAUGAGAAUUAAGCAUGACCUCCCAGCCAGAGUCGGCUGUUAGAGAACUUGACCUGAAUAUUAUUUAAGCAAGGAGGCAGCCAGUUUCUUAUGUUUUUAUCUUUGUGGCCCUGGGGCAUGGCAAAACAGUCAGACAGAGGUACAGAAUCAUCAUCAGUGAGUCCAAACCACAGUACUCAGGUUCCUGCAUCAGUGACUCCUACUACAUGAUGGGCCCUGAGAAAUCAGAAGGUCUGGGGGCUCAAUGCUGAGAGUCUCCCUGUAAGAAGAGUCUCUGUGUUCAGGAGUUCCCAUUGUGGCUCAGCAGGUUAAGAACCCAGCUAGUAUCCAUGAGGAUGCGGGUUUGGUCCCUGGCUUUGCUCAGAGGGAUAAGGCUUUGGCAUUGCUGUGGCUGCGGCGUAGGCCAGAAGCUGCAGCUCCCAUUCAACCCCUAGCCUCGGAACUUCCAUAGGCCGCAGGUGCAGCCCUAAAAUGAAAAAUUAAAAAAUCAAAAAUUAAAAAAAAAGAAUCUCCAUGUUCUGUCCACUCCAGCCAAAGGAACUGUUCAUCCUAAUUCAGGUUAUAAAUAAGCCCUCUUGUCACACUGGGCAUCUCCAACCUGAGGUUUUUUCCCCUCUAUUCUUUCCCAGUAGGGCUGGAUUCCUGUGUCUUUUUGCAUGUGUUGCUGUUUCUUAGAACGAAGCCCUGGCUGUCACACUCGCCAAUGCUCCUCCACAAGAAGGUAAAUUCCCCCAGGAUAGAGCUUCGUUUGUUCGGCUUCCAGCUCUGUGUAACAUCUGAAUCCUCUUGCUAGAAAGCUUGCUGCACAAGAAUGUGAAAUGUCAUGUCUAGAACAGUGCCUGGCAGACAGUAAAUGCUCCAUCACUGUUCGCUAAAGGGUGCAAGUCCAACGCCAUCCCUUCCUCUCCCGGAGCAGUCGAGGGUCUCUCCUCUGACCUUGUUGUCCUGUUAGCGUCUCUCUGUUCUGACAGUAUGGGAUGCCCUACUCAUGCUCUAUCAGUUUUCCCAGCUGAACUGGAAAAUACUAUGUUUGAUAGCUCCAUGUCUUCUGUGCCUGAAACAGUAAGAGUUCGCUCACUGCUUAUUGCUUCAAUGAUUGAAAGAAUGAAUUAAAAUGUUUCUUUGGUAACAAUCAAGGCUGAGGAUUUAUGACUUAACAUCAUGCCUCAAGUUUGGCCUGGACUCCAGCGCUUUCCAAGCCGAAGCAGCCGUGAGUCACCGGGCUGGGCAGGGAGGGGAGGGGAGUUUGUUUGCGGAGGACUUGUUUCCCGACCUCGAUGAAUCACAUGUAUAAUCACCCCAACUGCAUCCUGUCUGGGGAAGUAACCAAAAUCCCUAUUUCUGGCCUUAAUGGCUUUUUGGUUUUAUGAGUAAAUGCCACUGGCAUGCCAUUAAAUAAAUGCCCUCGGAAAGCCCUCAGCCAGUGCUGUGACCUGUGACAGGCAGGUUGUUGAAGAGCAGCCUUGGGAAUGGAGCACAAGACCAAAGAAGUAGGCUAUGCGUCCCACCUGGACCGUCGCUCUCAGAACUACCUGGUGACCUUGCUUCUGAGUUCUUUCCAAACAUCUGUUAGGCUCUUUUCUGGUAAAUCACAGGUAUGAUCAGGCCAUUCUCCUACAGAAAAAUAUGCAGUGGUUCUCAUCAUCUCCAGAAGACAGACCAAACUUUUUCACCUAGAACACCAUCUAUAUCCUGGCUCUGACCUACUUCACCCACUUUUCCUUCCCAUGCCCCCACAUAACCAGAUGCUCCAAACAGAAUGACUUUCUGAUCACAUAUAAUCCUAUUCUUUGCUCUAUGACUUUGUUUCCUGCUUCCUCCUCGUAUGUCCACCCCCUACCACUUCCAGAUGUCUAAAGAAAUGCCACACCCUCCACAAUAUCAUCCGCAGCCGUCCAAUAAGAAAGAAUAAAGUCUCCUUCAAGGACGCUCAGAUUCCAUUGGGGCUGCCGUUCCACUAUCUCUAAUGUGCUUGGGAAACAUGUAUGUGCAUGUUCGUUUCUCUAGUAAAUCAUUUCCGGACGAAUAUCUGAAUCUUAGUCAAUGUGAUGUUCCUUCGACUCCUAGCAGUGCUGGCCACAGUGGACACUCCAAAUAAAAGUUAGCUGAGUGGAAAAAGAGAACGAGUUCCACUGUUCAAAUCCUCAUCUUUGAGAAUCUUCAGGAAAGGUGUGACAUAGAAGUUUCUUAUUCUCACUCUCCUAUUUUAUCCCUUACCUCCUCUCCAAGAGAACACAAGAUUAAGAAAACCUUUGGUCUCUGCAAAUAACUUGGUUUUAUAUCCAUGAAGCCUCAAGGCCAGUUAUCUGUUCUAGACGUUCUUCCUCCUGAUAGCCAGCACCUCAGGGCCCACCUUGCUAGUAAGGCAGAACAACUUCAGAGGAAAAAACAGAAUUUUGGUCAUUAACUGAGUCAAACAAAAAGAUAGCUGAGAGGGUAUCUGUCAUUUCAAAGAGCAAACUUUUAAAAAGAUAGCAUAUUCUAAAAACAAAGACUUUUCUGUUACUGGCUGUUUGGGAAUAUCCACGCCCCAGUGCCAAUGUCAGGGUGGGCAUACUCGUUCAGUGUGGAUAAGUGAGAGCUGAAGCAAUAAAGCUUAGCUUUGUCUGAUCGCAAAGCAGUGCAGUCUCCUUUCUGUUGGUUGGAAUGACUGCUUAUGAGAACAGGGAUAUAGAAGCAGAACAGGGUUAAAAUCACCUAGGGCGAGGUCAAAGAACGAGAGAACGGAACGUCAAGCAUUUUGCUUCCUCUGCUGUCUUUGGGCAAUGACCACUUCUGAGCAGAUGAGAGAUGGACGGCCACCACUGCAGCUUGAGAGCCACCUCGACACGCUGCCAUCAGGGCAACGCCCUUCCCUCCCCAGGUGUCAUCCUGCCACACCACGUAAUGGCUGAAGGACCACAGAAAAGCCUGCAAUGUCUUCGCCUGCGAGGUGAGGAUGAUGCCUCUGACAAGGUACCAGUGUUAGAUCUUAUAAACUGUAAAGUACUGCUUCGAUAUUAGUUGUUGGUGCAAAUUCAGAGGUUUUUCCUA